UACGUAGGGUGCGAGCGUUAAUCGGAUUUACUGGGCGUAAAGCGUGCGCAGGCGGUUUGUUAAGCCAGAUGUGAAAGCCCCGGGCUCAACCUGGGAACCGCAUUUCGAACUGGCAAACUAGAGUCUUGUAGAGGGGGGUAGAAUUCCGGGUGUAGCGGUGAAAUGCGUAGAGAUCUGGAGGAAUACCGGUGGCGAAGGCGGCCCCCUGGGCCUGUACUGACGCUCAUGCACGAAAGCGUGGGGAGCAAACAGG
This 253-nucleotide ribosomal RNA is filed under the name uncultured microorganism. RNAcentral's name for it is "partial 16S ribosomal RNA". It matches the Rfam family "Bacterial small subunit ribosomal RNA", at positions 524 to 776 of the family's 1533-position model. The record is from RNAcentral.